CCUACGGGAGGCAGCAGUGGGGAAUAUUGCACAAUGGGGGAAACCCUGAUGCAGCGACGCCGCGUGAGUGAAGAAGUGCCCCGGCACGUAAAGCUCUAUCAGCAGGGAAGAAAAAAGUCCUUCGGACUUUGGACGGUACCUGACCAAGAAGCCCCGGCUAACUACGUGCCAGCAGCCGCGGUAAUACGUAGGGGGCAAGCGUUAUCCGGAUUUACUGGGUGUAAAGGGAGCGUAGACGGCAGCGCAAGUCUGGAGUGAAAUCCCGGGGCUCAACCCCGGAACUGCUUUGGAAACUGCGCGGCUCGAGUGCAGGAGGGGCAGGCGGAAUUCCUAGUGUAGCGGUGAAAUGCGUAGAUAUUAGGAGGAACACCAGUGGCGAAGGCGGCCUGCUGGACUGUAACUGACGUUGAGGCUCGAAAGCGUGGGGAGCAAACAGGA
Molecule: ribosomal RNA, 438 nt
Filed under: uncultured bacterium
Lineage: Bacteria
Description: bacterial SSU rRNA
Rfam family: Bacterial small subunit ribosomal RNA
Source: RNAcentral